This 74-nucleotide transfer RNA is filed under the name subsurface metagenome. Its description in RNAcentral is "tRNA-Arg". It matches the Rfam family "tRNA". Rfam says of the family: Transfer RNA (tRNA) molecules are approximately 80 nucleotides in length. Their secondary structure includes four short double-helical elements and three loops (D, anti-codon, and T loops). The record is from RNAcentral.
GCGUCUGUAGCUCAAAUGGAUAGAGCGUCGGUCUACGGAACCGAAGGUUAGGGGUUCGAGCCCUCUCAGGCGCG